CUUCACUCCCCUCUUCUGUUUGCCCAUCUGCUCUCUACCUCUCCUCUCUUCUUCAGUAUGAGGAGGUGCGCGGGGAGCUGCAGUGUGUACAGAGGGAGUUACAGGGGGCUCGUGAGGAGGUGCAGGUAGGUGUCUGUGUGCGGGAGCGUCUCUCUCAGGAUCUCCAAGUGAAACACACCCAGGUGUGAUCACUGGAGGGACAGCUGGGCUUGGCACGAACUCUCACACACACCCUCAAAAAGGAUGUGAAAAGCAACAGCUCAAGUUCUCAGACCCUGGCGUCUCGCCCACGCCCAUGUUCCCACAACAACAAGCCAAGGGCACGCCCCACCGGUGUCCGUCCCACCAAUCAGACUCCUCCACUCCCUCGGCUGUGUUUCUGUGGGAACGGGACGACCAAAAGCCUUAAUUCGCUCCUCCUCCAUCUCUCCCUCUCCCCUCCAGCAAUGUCAUCAGACGAGGACAGGAUGCUGGGGGUUGUGGGAUGUUGGAGGACAUCGGGAGAGAGACAGACAGCCCAGUCGUUGGAGCAGCGUGUGAAGCAGCUGCAGGAGGAACUGAAAUGUCAGGCACAGAACAGCAACGCACCAGAGACCUGGACAAGCAACACCAGAGACCUGGACAAGCAACACCAGAG
Molecule: long non-coding RNA, 637 nt
Organism: Oncorhynchus gorbuscha (pink salmon)
Lineage: Eukaryota; Metazoa; Chordata; Actinopteri; Salmoniformes; Salmonidae
Exons: 3
Source: RefSeq, a predicted model, not a curated record